GUGUCAGCAGCCGCGGUAAUACAGAGGGUGCAAGCGUUGUUCGGAAUCAUUGGGCGUAAAGCGCGUGUAGGCGGCCAUUUAAGUUUGGUGUGAAAGCCCAGGGCUUAACCCUGGAAGUGCACUGAAUACUGAGUGGCUAGAGGACGAGAGAGGACAAUGGAAUUCAUGGUGUAGGGGUGAAAUCCGUAGAUAUCAUGAGGAACAUCUGUGGCGAAGGCGAUUGUCUGGCUCGUUUCUGACGCUGAGACGCGAAAGCGUGGGGAGCAAACAGGAUUAGAAACCCUAGUAGUCC
RNAcentral lists this ribosomal RNA (292 nucleotides) under uncultured bacterium. RNAcentral describes it as "partial 16S ribosomal RNA". It matches the Rfam family "Bacterial small subunit ribosomal RNA", at positions 505 to 796 of the family's 1533-position model. The record is from RNAcentral.